GUUUGAGAUCCUGCUCCGCCCGGUCAGCCUCGUAGUGGUCCUCACGGCGGAGAGGGCAGUGGGAGGGAGGUCGGGACUUCUUGCCUGGGCCCGCUAGGCCCUCCCGCCUCAGAGCUCCAGAGCCCUCUCCACGGCCGCCCACUGGCUGGGCCCAGGUCUUGAAGCAGCAGCGAAGUUCUCCUCCCUCCCCACCUCCGUGACCUAAUGGCGGCGACCGUCUCCACGGCUCGCAGUUCAUGGAGGCCUCAGCAACUGGAGUAUAUGGACACUGCCAUUAAGGGUAACCAAAUAGUUGAUGAGGAGAAGUUUCUUUCUGUAGAAGCAUUCAGCUAGCAAAUAAGGAAGGAAUGAUAGAGUAUCAUCAUUUUGCAGCCCCUGAUGAAUGAAUGGAUCUCGACAAUGCUCACCAUUGGCAUUAUGAAAAGACAUGCUCCUGAAUAAAAAGGAACCUGAAUCUGA
This is a long non-coding RNA of Orcinus orca (killer whale), 459 nucleotides long. RefSeq lists it as uncharacterized. Lineage: Eukaryota; Metazoa; Chordata; Mammalia; Artiodactyla; Delphinidae. The transcript has 2 exons. The record is from RefSeq and is a predicted model, not a curated record.